GGUGGCUCAGUGGUAGAACGCUUGCCUUGCAUGCAUGAGGCACUGGGUUUGAUUCUCAGCACCA
This 64-nucleotide transfer RNA is filed under the name Dipodomys ordii (Ord's kangaroo rat). It matches the Rfam family "tRNA". Rfam says of the family: Transfer RNA (tRNA) molecules are approximately 80 nucleotides in length. Lineage: Eukaryota; Metazoa; Chordata; Mammalia; Rodentia; Heteromyidae. The record is from Rfam by way of RNAcentral.